UGGGGAAUAUUGCACAAUGGGCGCAAGCCUGAUGCAGCGACGCCGCGUGAGGGAUGACGGCCUUCGGGUUGUAAACCUCUUUCAGCAGGGACGAAGCGCAGGUGACGGUACCUGCAGAAGAAGCACCGGCCAACUACGUGCCAGCAGCCGCGGUAAUACGUAGGGUGCGAGCGUUGUCCGGAAUUACUGGGCGUAAAGAGCUCGUAGGCGGUUUGUCGCGUCGUCUGUGAAAUUCUGCAGCUUAACUGCAGGCGUGCAGGCGAUACGGGCAGACUUGAGUACUACAGGGGAGACUGGAAUUCCUGGUGUAGCGGUGAAAUGCGCAGAUAUCAGGAGGAACACCGGUGGCGAAGGCGGGUCUCUGGGUAGUAACUGACGCUGAGGAGCGAAAGCGUGGGUAGCGAACAGGAUUAGAUACCCUGGUAGUCCACGCCGUAAACGGUGGGUACUAGGUGUGGGUUCCAUUUCACGGGAUCCGUGCCGUAGCUAACGCAUUAAGUACCCCGCCUGGGGAGUACGGCCGCAAGGCUAAAACUCAAAUGAAUUGAC
RNAcentral lists this ribosomal RNA (549 nucleotides) under uncultured bacterium. Its description in RNAcentral is "partial 16S ribosomal RNA". It matches the Rfam family "Bacterial small subunit ribosomal RNA", at positions 355 to 914 of the family's 1533-position model. The record is from RNAcentral.